RNAcentral lists this non-coding RNA (29 nucleotides) under Homo sapiens (human). The record is from RNAcentral. Lineage: Eukaryota; Metazoa; Chordata; Mammalia; Primates; Hominidae.
UCAGAGUUACGCUGCAGACUGCACAGCAC